AGGAUAAUAGUUAAAAUUAACAUUUAAUUUGCAUUUAAAAAAUAUUGAUAAAUCAAUUUAUCUUA
This 65-nucleotide transfer RNA is filed under the name Attagenus hottentotus. RNAcentral's name for it is "tRNA-Ala". Lineage: Eukaryota; Metazoa; Arthropoda; Insecta; Coleoptera; Dermestidae. The record is from RNAcentral.